Long non-coding RNA from Peromyscus eremicus (cactus mouse), 432 nucleotides. RefSeq lists it as uncharacterized. The record is from RefSeq and is a predicted model, not a curated record. NCBI's taxonomy places the organism in Eukaryota, Metazoa, Chordata, Mammalia, Rodentia, Cricetidae. The transcript is spliced from 3 exons.
GAUGGCAAGAUGCUGUUGUUGAAAACACUGAACGCUCUGAUAACUGGGCAUGGAGAAAACAAGCUCAUAUAUUUUCCUGGAAGCUUCUACCUUCUGGCUAGCUUUCACAGUGCUGGGAGGUACUGUGUAGGCUGAUGGUGGAGGACAGUCCUCAGCAGUCCUACCCAGAUGUGGACCUGAAAACCACAAUGCUGACUUGCCUGUCAAGAUUGAAAAAGCAGAAAAAGAAGAUUUGUUUAAUGUGGCCUCAUUGGGAAAAGAAACAAAAAGAUCCAGAGCCCCCCCUCCCAAGUCUGUGUUUGGGGUCCCGUCAUAAUGCUGACGUAAUCUUGUUUGGAAGAUCACUUUCUAUGAAAGUCAAAUAGAUACAAUUCUUACAGAAAAAUUUCAAGGUGGGUUAUGUUUUCAUCAUUUUAAGUAAAUGGACACAGG